GCUGGGCGUUGUGGUGCGUGCCUGUAGUCCCAGCUACUCGGGAGGCUGAAGUGGGAGGAUUGCUUGAGCCCAGUAGUUCUGGGCUGUAGUGCUCUAUGCUGAUUGGGUGUCCGCACUAAGUUCGGCACCAAUAUGGUGACCUCCCAGGAGCGGGGGACCACCAGGUUGCCUAAGGAGGGGUGAACCAGCCCAGGUCUGAAACGGAGCAGGUCAAAACUCCCAUGCUGAUCAGUAGUGGGAUUGCGCCUGUGAAUAGCCACUGCAGCACUCCAGCCUGGGCAACAUAGUGAGAUCCCCUCUUA
RNAcentral lists this signal recognition particle RNA (302 nucleotides) under Saimiri boliviensis boliviensis (Bolivian squirrel monkey). RNAcentral describes it as "Metazoan signal recognition particle RNA (ENSSBOG00000009186.1)". It matches the Rfam family "Metazoan signal recognition particle RNA". Rfam says of the family: The signal recognition particle (SRP) is a universally conserved ribonucleoprotein. It is involved in the co-translational targeting of proteins to membranes. Lineage: Eukaryota; Metazoa; Chordata; Mammalia; Primates; Cebidae. The record is from RNAcentral.